Loxodonta africana (African savanna elephant) is the source of this 34339-nucleotide long non-coding RNA. RefSeq lists it as uncharacterized. Lineage: Eukaryota; Metazoa; Chordata; Mammalia; Proboscidea; Elephantidae. The transcript has 2 exons. The record is from RefSeq and is a predicted model, not a curated record.
CCCCACCAAAGCACGGUGCUUGCGGGAGCCCACGGACCCGUCAACCCUCGUGCUCUGGACCACCGCAUACCGUCGACCAGGCCGGCGCGCGGGUGGCCGGCCCGGAUGGAGGGCGCGUCGCCAGAGUUUACACUGCCAACCGAGGAGGCCGGGGGCAACACCCAGCGUGGCAAGGCCGGUUUCGGUCCCGGACCGGGGGCCGCCCAGCAUGAUUGGCCAGACAACGAGGAAUUGACGGCAGCGAGGGAGACGCUGCGGGGGUCCCCGGUAAGUCCAGCCAUCCUGCGGGGGGUGGGUGGGGUCUACGUCGUCGGGAACCCUGCAGAGCAAGGCGGCCUACGCCUGCGGGCCAGCCAGCGCCGGCUCAGAGAGACCCUACCCAGAUUGGGAGGGAGAGGUACCCGUUGAGUUGCAAUACUGGAUUCUACAGAGAAAAUGUUAAAGCAGGAAGCAUCAAAAGAUGAUGGAAAGACUACACAGAGUCACUAUACCGAAAAGAACUGGUGGAUGUUCAACCAUUUCAGGAGGUAACAUGUGAUCAGGAACCAUGGUACUGAAGGCUUUGGCGGAAAAACAAGUUUCUGGGAGUUGAGGGAAUACAGAUUGAGAUGUUUCAACAAACGGAUGCAGCACUGGAAGUGCUCACUCAUCUAUCCCAAGAAACUUGGAAGACAGCUGCCUGGCCAACCGACUAGAAGAGAUGCAUAUUUAUGCCUAUUCCCAAGAAAGGUGAUCCAACCCAAUGCAGAAAUUAUUGAACAAUAUCAUCAAUAUCACAUGCAAGCAAAAUUUUGCUAAAGAUCAUUCAAAAGCAGCUGCAGCAGGUAUAUUGACAGGGAGCUGCCAGAAAUUCAAGCUGAUUUAGAGGAGGACGUGGAACAAGGGAUAUCGCCUUAUAUGCAUGCAAAAGCUGGACAAUAAAUAAGGAAGACUGAAGAAUUGAUGCCUUUGAAUUGUGGUGUUGGAGAAGAAUAUUGAAUAUACUGUGGAUUGCCAAAAGAAGGAACAAAUCUGUCUUGAAAGAAGUACAAACAGAAUGCUCCUUAGAGGCAAGAAUGGUGAGACUUUGUUUUACAUACUUUGGACAUGUUAUCAGGAGGGUUCAGUCCCUGGAGGAGGACAUCAUGCUUGGUAAUGUAGAGGGUCAUCGAAAAAAUCCAACAUGAUGGAUUUAUGCAGUGGCUGCAAGAAUGGGCUCAAGCAUAGGAACGGUUGUGAGGAUGGCAUAGAACUGACCAGUGUUUCCUUCUGUUGUGCAUAGAGUCUAAGUCAGAACUGACUCAACAGCACCUAACAACAACAAUAGUUGUGGCGAUUGGCUUUAUGUAAUUAAAGGUUGUCAACAGAGAAUUGUUUCUGUACUAAUGGAAGAUUUAGACCAAACAACUCCCAAAGAAAGAUGCAGUAACUGCUAGAAUUUUCUUUCUCCUUUUUGGAGAGCUGUUGAGUGUAUUUUUGUUGUUCACCGAUCAUUUUGUUUGACAUGAACUUGCUGUUUCUAUUGUUUUUUUUGUGAAUUUAAGUAUCAGAAAAAAGGCAUGUGUAGAAGUUGAAGAGCCAAAGGUGUGAAUAUGAUAGACUGGGGGUCAAUAUCCAUUUUACCUUAUUUCUAAGGUGGCUUCCUAUAUAUUGGAAGUAAUGCUAAAAAUUAGGUAACCCAGGUUCUGUGUGCUUUAUGUUUGACCUAUCAGAUGAAGUCACAUGGGAUUUGGAAGACUAAAAAUAAUGUGGACAUGCAUAUGAAGAAUGUGCUUCCAUCGUUUUGGCUGCUUCAGCUGGCACUGUCAUGAGGGUAUCCAGCAUGGAGCAUAUGAAAGAGAAAUUCUUAAUAGAUGCUGGAGAGCGAUGACAAGGCAGAAGGUGAUCCGAGCUACUUCCCUUCUCCUUUCGUUAGAAUGUUAUGUCUAUAAUGCAACGUCCAUAACGCUUUGGUGCCUUUCUAGAUUUCAUGAGUAUAUUAUGGCAGAGUUCAGUUCCCUCACCCAGGAAUACAAAAAUGCCUCAUAAACACAUGUGUGAUACACGUAUAGUUACGGAAGAAAAGAGUGAAAUAAUAUCUUAUAUGUUAUUUUUAAAAAUAAAUUAUGAACUAUUUUUGAAAAGAAAAUUUUGGAAACAUGGCUCAAGGGGAUCACUUAUCCAACCCUGAGAUAAAUUAGAAAUAGAGAGAUCCCUGAAAAAGAUUGUUAAACAUUAUGACUGGCACUUUAAAAAUCACUGAAGUUUUUAAAAACUGAUUAAAUGAUUAUAUUAGUUUUCAUUUCUAUGUUCAAACAAAUAAGAACAUGGAUAGCAGAAUAAGAGCAAACAGCUACCAUCUUAGCACACUAGUGAUAUAUCACAGCUCAUAAAACAACUCUUGGUGCUAAAUUAAGUUACAUUGUUUCAUUUAAUCUUUGAUUUCAAGUCUUUGUAAGAAUGAGAUGCACUUUAAUAUUCAACUAAAUUCUGUGGGUGUGAUGUGACUGCUACUGACAACAACUGCAGGGAAUAGCACACAGUAGGAAGUCAAAAAUACCUGUUAAAUAAAUAUUAGUUAAAUCACAGCAGUAGCUAUACAAUGAUGAGACUGUAUCUAUAUAUGUACAUCUGUUUAUCUACAUUUGUACAGAUUGUAACUCUUUAUGUCAAUGUACACUGCAGGAAAUAGGUAGAAUGCUUAUGGGCCAAUGAGACCAAUGUUAGGAUAUUAAAAAUGUGUCUCCUGAAAAAAUGGCCUUGUUUUUGGCAAAUCCAUGUGGCGCUUGUGUUUCUAAACUGGUUUAUGGAAGGGAACAUAAUUUUAAAGAUCAUGGUUCCAUUAAAUCACUUUCCAUGGAGCAUCCUUGUUCUUUCCAUCAAAGCAAAAGCUACUUUUGACUUAUCCAAACUUUAAAAGAAUAAGAGAUUUGUAAAAAAAAUACACCAAUGUUAGAGAAAUAACAGAAAAUCCUGAUCCACGUUAUUGGGACAUCUGAACUAUCAGGAUGUCAUUAGGCUCAAAUAAGAUUUUAACAAUUGAAACUACAAAUAACAAUAAGGACAAAAACUUUUCUAGUCAACCUGCCAUAAACUAUUAAAAUUGGUGCCAUCAAUGUAGGUACAGACCUUUGCCCAAGGUAGAGAUGAGUCUUGUGUACUGUCCUACAGAAAAUGUUAUUUACAACUAUUUUUACAUAUGUACAUAUUUAUAAAUGUGUAAUUUACAGUCAGACAUUAAAGGGCAAUGCAGAGCUUAUAAUGGAAAUAUUUUUAAAAGUGUCUAAUAGAUGCAUACCAAACGAAGCAUUUUUAUUGCUCACCUUCAAGCAUUACAUACUUUCUUAGACUACUGCACACUUUCCUAAACUUCACAGAAGGGCUAUGCUAUGUUUAAAUGUAUAAGAAAAUAGGAUAUCUUCUAUUUCACUGCAUGAACAAAGGCCACAUUUAAAAACUAUUUAGAUUAAAAAAAAAAAAACUUGUUAUUGGAAGGUAAUUAAAGAAAUACAUUUAGUGGCAUAUGUAACAAGUUUAUUUUAUUAAGGGUUAUGGAUUACCUUUUGUGAGGUCAUUUUUAAAAUGUGAAGGCUGUCUUCAUGGCAAAUUCUUUUAAUAAAAUGCAUUUGUGACCUUGGUAUUAAUACAAUCAUGCAAAGCACAUAAUAGAAUCACACUAAAACAAAGAAAAUGAAAAAAAUAAAAUAAAAUGAGGCAAAGAAAAAGCAAUUUUUGUUGUGAUUUUGCUUAUUUCCAUAAGAUACCCCUUUUAUUAAUUUUUGAACAUACCUAUUUAUGCACUAUAUUCAAAUACUGUACAAAACUGCAAGAAAUGCCACUAUUUGACUACUUAUGUUCCUACAAAGACACCAUCAUAAACGUAUACCUAUUAUUAAAAGUCAACUAAUAACUGCUAAUGUGUAUGUGAAUCAAAAGGAUUUUAGAUUUGCCAAAAACUUUGAAUCAAGGCAUGGCACAUAAUUAUUAAAUUUUAUUUGUAUAUUCCAGGGGCAUAAAGAGUAUUUUUAAACUAUUAAAAGAAAAAUGUAUAUAUUUUGUUGUUAUUGUUGUUGGGUGCCAUCGAGUCAAUUUUGACUCAUAGCAACCCAAUCUGGCAGGACAGGACUGCCCCACAGGGUUUUCUUCUCUGUAAUCUUUACAGAAGCAGAUCAUGAAUUUCACCCAUUAGUAAUUACUAAUUAUAUAAAAUUGUAAGUUGUGGCUUCUAACUUACCUACCUGUACGUGUGACUGUCUUUUUAAUUUGCAGUAACUACCUGUGUGUGGUUUUUAAUUUAGCCCUGUGUGUGUGUGUGUGUAUAUGCGUGCGUAUGCAUUUUAAAUAAUCCACUAUCUGUUGGUGAUGUUUCAAAGUUUCAGGUUAGAAAAAUUCAGCUCUUACCAAAAUCUCUUCUGGUAUACAAAGGUGUUGUAAAUUUGAGUCAGCGGAAUUUAAGUCGUAAUUUACAAAAGCGGAUUUACAUUAAUUCUUAACUGAAAGAGCUGCUUUCAAGACAGAAAAAUGUGCCAAUUAACUGCCCUUUCCUUUAGAAUUAGUGGCUUCUGGGUCCUGAUGAAAAGAAGCCUUAAGGCAGAAUUUGCAGUAAACAGGAAGGAAGAGAAUCAGGUAAGUGCUCAUCUAUAUACUGUGACACCUAUGAAUUCUCAUCAGUGGGAGUUUUUGGCACAAUUUUCUAAUCCAAUAUGAAUGUUGCUCCACAGUAGCCAAACUGGAUGCUUUUUCCAGUCUCCAGCACCAAGAAAAUUUAGCUGAUCAAUUUCAAUACAACACAUACCUGGAAAGAGUAAGACACUUUUUUUUUUUUUUAAAGGUCUUUUCCAAAGAUGAAAAUGAUUUGUUAGAUUUCAAUUAUUACUUUCAAAUAAGCUCAGAAGCUAUAAAUGUAAUGACCAUGACAUUCCAAUUGUUAUUAAAUUCUAGGCAUAAUUAACAUCCUGUCAAGAGGUGACCUGUGUAAUUAUUUAAGCUCAACAUGCUGUAAUGUGUACAUGGCUGUAGAUACUACACACAGUAAUUAAAAGCUGAUUUUCAAUAAUUUCUAGUUUUUCUUCUUUAGUGUGCCAAGCUUCCAAUUACCUUUGCAGGGAUUCUGAGCACUCAGGAGGGGAACUGAUAUUGCAGCUAUCAGGCCCUGCUAUUUAGAAGAAUUUGUCUUUGAAUGACAACCUUAUCUUACAUCAUAAUUAGGCAGCAGUAGAAAAUACUCCAUAUUUAAUGCCUCAAACAAAAGCAUCCAUUAAAGUGUGGUGUAGGUCCCCCAUUUUCAUCUCUGCUGAAGAAGAAAUAAAUCAGGACAUGUGAAAUCCACUUUAAACCAGUUCCUAGGUAACUCUUUUACAAGGCCAUGGCUCCUUUGGCAUGGGGUGCUUUCUGUCUGCCGUUCCAUGGGUUAGCAAAUGCGUGACUCAAUUAGAGAUCUACCAGUAAGCUACAUCACUAUAGACAUACUGUACAUGUUGGUUCACAAAUUAGCAGCUAUUAGUCGGACUGUACAUGGCAAAACAAACCGAGUUUAAUGUUGCUCUAUAUCCCAAAGAUAACCCUGGGUCUAGGUUCAAGGACUGAACCCUAAUACAGGUUCCCUGUUUAAAUAUGUAGCCCAGUAAACUAAAUUAAACGUACCAAACAAGACUGGGAAAACUAUUCUAGACAUUCUGUCAAUUUUGCUAACACUGUUGAAGGUUUUCUUGGCUUCAGCUGGCUUGUUUUCCGGUUUCUUGUUGGGUUCUGGUGUGGUUGCGCUCUUGGAGAUGGUGGAGAGAACUGGAUCUUUUGAAAGGUUUGGGGCAUAAUUGGCAACAGCCACCGCGUAAGCAUUGUUCUGUAUCAUCACAGAGGCUUUCUCUUUUUUCUAUUGAAAAACACAAGAAAUCACAGAGUAUGGGUUGAGCCAGCUACAUACCAUUUUCUGCAGGUAAUUAUCUUGAUAAACAUUGUUAUCCAUUAGAAAGAAUGAAUUUAGGAAGUUAAAUAAAAAGGUUCUAAGUCCUAAAAACAUGAGAACGAGGAAGGCCUCAGAGGAAAACCAUUGGUACCAUUUUCCUGGAGAACCAUGCUUUGCUACUGACAACAACAAAACAAAUAAUCAAAAGAUACAACUUUAAUAAAUGAGACAGUAUUUUUGACUCUUAGGAGUCACUCAAAUAUUUGUUGAGUGGAUUAAAAAGCAAAAUAUGAAAACAUUUUAACAACAGAAAUGAUCACCUACAAUGAAUGAUUCUAACUUGUGAAUAAAGAAAUUUAAUUUCUGUAACUUCAUAAAAGGAUUCUCCUCCGCCUCGCUUUAUGUCAAAAUCAUACAGCAAUUGCUUUACUCAGAUCAUGGGAAACUGCAACUGUAUGCAGAUGGUAGUACAAUAAAUACUCAAAAUACAGAAGAAAAAUAAAACACAAACCUGGGUUUUUGCCUAUCUCCUCCCACUCCUUCUUAUAAUUUUCAGUUUAGUUACAACCGGCCCUAGUUGGGUCUGCUGCCUAGACCAGGCAAUACUCCUUUGUAGUCUCCCUGCUUCUUUUGACACAAUCCAAUCAUAAGAUACACUAAAGCCACAGGAAUCUUUUUUAAAACAUAAACUGGAUUAUGCCACUUCUCUGUUAAAAUCUUUUAAACAGCAUCCAAUGGAACUUAGAAUAAAACUAACACUUCUUCUCAUGGCCUCUUUCCUUUGCUUAUUACACACCAGUCCCAGGGGAUGAAUUUCAGUUUUUAGAGUAUUUCCUUGCCUUGGUACCUUUGGUGAUGUUAGUUCCUUAGCCGAAUGCCUUCCCCUACCCCAUCUUUCAUAUGACUACUUCUCCCUCACUGGGAACAUUGGUGGUUCAGUGGUAGAAUUCUCACUUUCUGUGAGGGAGAUCUGGGUUUGAUUCCCAUCCAAUGUACCUCAAAUGCAGCCACCACUCGUCCAUUACUGGAGGUUUGUGUGUUGUUAUGAUGCUGAAUAGGUUUUAGUGGAGUUUCCAGACUAAGGCAGACUAGUAAGAAAGGCCUGGCAAUCUACUUCCAAAAAUCAGUCAAUGAAAACCCUAUGGAUCACAAUGGUCACGUCCGCAACCGAUCAUGGGGUUGGCUGGGGACCAGGCAGCAUUUCAUUCCAUUGUGCAUGGGCAUGGUGUUACCUCAAGUCUAGGGUAACUCAGUGGCAGCCAACAGCAACAACAGCACUUUCUUCUCACCUUUUGGUUUCUAUUUAAACAUCAUUUCCUCAGACAGGCCUUCCCCAACCACUCUAGCCAACCUAUUCUCCAUGCCCCAGAUGUCCUUUCAUAGCACCCAGUUUCUUCCCGUCACGGCAUUUUUCACUAUGUGUGAAUGCUUCCUCUACUUGUGUGAUUGUUUCACUGAUGUCUUCCUUCCCUAAAUUCUAUGAAGGCCAGCGCCAGUUUUGUCUUGUUAAGCUUAGUAACAUUAGCACUCAGCAUGAUGCCUUCCACCAGGUAGGCACAAAAUAAACUGAAAAACCAAAUUCAUUAUCAUCAAGUUGAUUCUGAUGCAUAGAGGCCCUAUAUGACAGAGGAGAAUUGCCCCACAGGGUUCCAAAGUUGUAAUCUUUACAGAAGCAGACUGCCACAUCUUUCUCCUGCAGAGUGGCACAUAAUAAGUAGUUCAAUUAAUGAAACCUGAAAAUAUAAAGAGUAUUUACCUGCAUUUCUAUGCUAAUAUAAGGAGCCCUGGUAGUGCAAUGGUUAAGUGUUUGGCUACUAACCAAAAUGUUUGCAGUGCAAAUUCAACAGCAGCUCUGCAGGAGAAGAGACCUGGCAAUCUGCUCCCAGAAAGAUUUCAACCUAGGAAACCCUAAGGGCAGUUAACCAAAAAAAACCAAGCCCACUGCUGUCGAGUCAAUUCUGACUCAUAGCGACUGUACAGGAUAGAGUAGAACUGCCCCACAGGGUUUCCAAGGAGCGCCUGGUGGAUUUGAACUGCUGGCCUUUUGGUUAGCAGCCAUAGCACUUAACCACUAUGCAACCAGGGUUUCCAGUUAUACCCUGUCAUAUAGGGUCAUGAUGAGUUGGAAUCGACUUGAUGGUACACAAAACACACACACACGCAAACACACACCAAUAUAAAUGAAUUAUUUGUUAUCUAAAUGCAAACAAAAUUCAGCCAACAUUUAAUUAUCCAAAAUAGUGAGGUUUACAGGAGAGAUUGCCCUAGAACAAACUUUGGAGUAUUAGUUAAUUUGAAUUAAGAAUUCUCAAAAUGUUCAAGUAAAAUCAGAUAAGAAAUGGGCUCUGAAAGCCCAGGAGGAUCUGCAAACAUGCCUGGGUUUCCCAGUUCUUCUUCUCCUUUCCCCUCCUACUAAUAAAGCUUCCACCCAGGCCUGGCUGGAGUAUAAAAGGAGAAGGAGUAAGAAAUCACCAUUUGUAACUUUAUAAAACCAAACCAAACCCAUUGCCACUGAGUCGAUUACAGUUCAUAGCGAGCCUAUAGGACGGAGUAGAACUGCCCCAUAUGGUUUCCAAGGCUGUAAAUCUUUACAGAAGCAGACUGCCACAUCUUUCUGUCGUGGAGAAGCUGGUGGGUUCAAACCACCGAACUUUUAGUUAGCAGCCAAGCACUUAACCACUGUUUCAAGAACCCAGUGGUUGGUACCUGUAAUUUCUUACCAUUUCAUUGAAUGAAGGGCAGGGCAUACCUAUGGUGCCACACCAUAACAAUUCCUAGCCACUGCUCAGCAUAGGCUUUUCUUAGCAGCUCCAAUUUUUAUAGUUAUUUUACAAAUAACUUACUAAGUUAUUUUAAAGAAGAAAACAACUCCUCUUACCACACUUCAAAAUAAUUACUUCAAAUCUACACUAAAGCACACUGUUCCUAUCUAUUUAAAAUUAAAAUCAUCUAUAUGUUUUUUGGGUUUUAUAUGGAAAAAAUAUCAUUUGAUUCAUAACUGACUUACAACUGUAAGGAUUUCUGAAGCAAAAGAUAAAGUCCACACAAUCCGCUCUGUGGAAGCCCUGGUGGUGUAGUGGUUAAGACCUACAGCUGCUAACCAAAAGGUCGGCAGUUCGAAUCCGCCAGGUGCUCCUUGGAAACGCUAUGGAGCAGUUCUACUCUGUCAUACAGGUUUGCUGUAAGUCGGAAUCGACUAGACGGCAAUGGGGUAUGGGGGUUAAUGCAUUCUGUUACUGUUUUUUGUAAGAUAUAGGUCUGUUAGUGCCACAGCAAAGACUCUGUACAGUAGGCCAUUGACAAGAGAUAGUACCAUGUCCCAUCUCCUACCAACUUCUACUAACAAUAACCAGCUUAAGAGGAUGUGUAUAACAAAUACCUCUUUAAAUACUACACAGACCUCAGAUCAAGCCACAUCAUCAGCAGGCUGCAUACUUUAUUUAGUGUAAUCCUUGGUUUACAUUCAGACCCUUGAAGAAAAAUAGUCCAGUGAAAUCUAUUGCAUUAACUGUUCAAAACAGUACUUGCUGCUUCCCAUUAGGGUUUUUUUUUUUUUUUAAGUCCAGGUCCCUGAAAAUUUUUUUUUCUUUUGAGAACUAGGCAAAUUCUAAUAAUUCAUACUACCUAACUUCCCAUAUGCUAAUUUUAACUCCCUGAAAUAAUUAAUUCUGUAUUUCUACUUUAAAGCACUUAGAUAGACCAUUUACUAUCAUUUGAAGAGUAAAAUCAGGUAGAGUUGAAAAUAUGCACAAGUAUAGGCUGGGUUCCUGAAGUAAAGAGAAGAAUGUUAAAAGGUAAUGAAAACAGAUAAAAGGAGAAUGGGGGAAUUGAAAGCAACCUGGCACUGCUAUUUUCCAUUAAUUUUAAGUGACUCUCAUGGUAUUUGCUACCUUUACAUGGAUGAUUGACACAUACAUUUAUCUCUUUCCAGAUUUCAAAACCACCGUUUCACUAGAAUUCUCCAGCUAUAUGUCCCACAGGUACUUAAAACUUAAAAUAUCCAGAAAUGAAUUCACCUUACUCUCACUCCCAGCCCAAAUCUGUAUACCCUCCCUGGCCUCUGAAUGGAACCAUAAGAGAGACAGAAACUGGUAAAUAACUCCAACUGGUCCCCAAGUCUUGCAGGUUUUACCUCACCAUCACUAGGCUAACAAUGACUCAGCUCAGAGUCACUACUCAGAUGUCACUUCCCCAUGCCUGCAUUAAGAACCCCUUCCAUGAGCUUUCACGGCACCCCAGUGCUUGCUUUUACAAUGGCAUAUAUAUAUAUUACUUCUCUUUUUUAUAGGGUCCUUGAAGGCACAGACUGUGUACUGUAAAGCUCCUAGCAUAGCUCCUGGCACACAGCAGGCUCAAAAACUGUUUGCUUGAUAAAUAAACGAAUGAUGUACUAGGAUGAUUACUAUGAUCUAUCCAUCCAUCCAUCCAUCCAUCCAUCCAUCCAUCCAUCCAUCCAUCCAUCCAUCCAUCCACACAUCCAUCCAUCUAAUAUAAAGAAUAUAUUUAAUAGAAUAUAAUAACUUAUGUUAGAUUAAUAAAAACAUAAUUCAGUAUUUAUUCCAUAAUUCCAUUAUUUUGUUUUCCUGAAAGUCCUCUGUUUUAUCAUCUAUGGAUGUGGGAGACUGGGAAUUAAUAAAAUUUAGCUCAAAAAUAAAUUAAAAAACAAUGUAUUUGGAAGUUGUUUUACUUAUGAUUGAGAGUUAUAUAUCGGGGAAAGGGGAUGUGGCUUAAUAUAGCAUCAAUAAAUGGCAUAUUUUUUAUGUACUAUGUGGAUAAAGGAAACCCUGGUGGUGUAGUGGUUAAGUGCUAUGGCUGCGAACCAAAGGGUCCGCAGUUCGAAUCCGCCAGGUGCUCCUUGGAAACUCUAUGGGGCAGUUCUACUCUGUCCUAUAGGGUCGCUAUGAGUCAGAAUCGACUCGACGGCACUGGGUUUGGUUUUUGGUGAUAUCUGGAUAAAGGGGAACAAACUAUGUUGUUAUAGAGCUUUUUGACACUGUCACUGAAGUGGAAUGAAAGGGAAUAUAACCCACAUCAAUUUAAUUUUCUAUUUUUAAAUGAUAUUUAUAGGAUUUAGGCUACUUUGAGAUUAUUACUUUAUUAAUGUUUCUGAAUAUGUACUAAAACUGUCAAGUCUGGAAAAUUCCUGAUUAACAGAAAUCAAAACGUCUUAUACCAUGAUGGCAAACCAACUUGACUUCCUUAGAAUAGUAGAGAAAAUAAUUUGCUAAUUACUUGAGCAAAAGCUGAAUGUAGAAUAUAGUCACCUAUUAGAGAAGGUGAACUGGCAAAUGAAUUAAAUAACAAUCACAUAGUUUUACAGUUGUAAAGAAUCUCAGAGAUUAUUCCCUCCAAUAAGGAAAUGAGACUCUCAUGUCAAACACUAAAUAUACGACUUUGGAGAAAACUCAGGCCUCCUAAGUCUCAAUCUGGGCUCUUUCUACCACACCAUGUUGUAAUUUUGCAGUUAUGUGGCUACUAGACAGCCCGCUACUUGUAAAAGAACAGUAUGCUCCCUGGUCAGAUAAUGCUACUGUGAAGUGUCUGUUAACUGUCCUAACUAGAAAAGUGAUACUUACGGAAGACUGUCUGAAGGUUAUACAGUCCAUCCACUUCUCUAAGUACUCCAAAGUCUCUCCUUGGAUUAAACUGGGCCAUGAGAAACCUAUAUAUACACUUGGACCAUAUUAGCUUAGCUCCUUGAAGAACUGCUUUCACUGAGUUGUAUGUUAAUGUAAUGCCUGCACCUUUUAUUGAAAGGGACUACAAGAAACGUCAAUAUGAAAUUCACUAUGAUGUUUAUUGGGAAAAUGUUAACAUUUCUUGCUAAAGUACCCAGUUUUCCCUAUAUAAAACCCAUGAAAGAUAUAUAUAUGGUCCCUCUCAAAGGAGAAUUCAGUGUAAAGGAAGAUUUUCUCUGAGGAAAUUUAUGCUUCCAUUUUUUGGUUAAAGAAAAAAAAAAAACUUUACAGUUAUUAUGCUUGCCCAAGAUGUGGCAGUCUGUUUCUGUGAAGAUUACAGCCUCAGAAUCCCUAUGGGGCAGUUCUACUCUGUCCUAUAGGGCUGCAAUGUGUUGGAGUUGACUCAGUGGCAACAAGUUUGGUUUUAUUCAUCACGUAAAUGAGAAUAUGAGAGGGAUAUAUUCUUGGACCAUAUUUGAUUAGUUUGUUAAUUGACUUCAAUAAUUCAUUAAAGAGCUAAAGAGUUAAAUGAUAAAAUUUAUGAUUUAGAAAGACAAAUCUGGUAUUAAUAUAGAGGAUGGAUUAGAAGAAGUCAAGUAUGGAGUCAGCAAGUAGUAAAGAGUCUAUUAAAAUGGCGAGGGCUUGAUGUAAGGCACGUAUGAAGAGAACAGAUAAAAUCUGAUGACUGCAUAGAUGUUGAAGGAUACUUCCAAGUGGUUGGCAUGUGAGAUUAGGUUGAACAAUUAACUGACAUAUUUUUUUUAUGGGUUACUGAUGAAUAACUAGAUGUGGGCAGGGGAAAGGUAUAAAGUCAACUUAGGAGGUUUUAUUUUUAUUUUUUGUUUGUUUCUUUGACCUUUUUUUUUAAGUGUAGAGACUGAGGUGUUAUAUUCAAAUUGAAAUGUCUAGGGAACAGGUUGGAUGCAUGAUCCCUGAAGUUAAAAAACAAAGGUGUGGAAAAUAGGCAUAGGUAAUAACCAUGGAAAUGAAGAUAAAACUGUGGGUUGUAGAUUUUGAUUUGGUAAUUACUUCAUUAAUUUAUACAGUAUUUACUGAGUAAUAUGUGUAAGACACUGCAAAAGGCCAGGGAUAAAUGAUUUACUAAAAUAAAAGUGGUUACUGUUAUCAUGAUAAGUGAAGGAGCAGAGGCAUGAAUAUGCAAUUACAAUCUGUGGCAACAGCUAUACUGCAAAAGCGCAAGGUAGUACACAUGCUUACAAUGGGAAUCUAAUCAGCUGGGGUAGGGGAGCUCCAAAAAUUCCUGAAUAAUUGAUAUUUGUGCUGAGGAUGAGUAGGAAUUACCUGGUUUGGGAAUGAAAAUGGUGAGCAGUAUGUAGCGUUGUAGAUAUUCCUGCAAACCUUGUCAAUAAAAUCCUUAAAGUGAGACAUGCACAGUGAAUAGUAAAUUUUAAAGCCAGGAUAAAAGAAAGCUAAAAUAAUUGUCUUUGAGGGUAAAUAAGAACAGAUGUUGCAUCCACUGUGAACUCCAAAAGAGAAUCGCAAAGCACAGAAUGAGCAGUGGAAGGAUGUGAGGGAAGAAAACUAAUAUUCUGAGACCUGCUUUAAUGAGAACAGAAGUGAAAUGGCAUUCCUCAGCAUAAUAGUAGAAAGGCUCAAUAAGGAACCAGUGAGACAAUAAAAAAUUACUAUCUGAUCUGAAAAUGUGGAGGUUAUUGGUACCCUUCAGUUACAGGAGUCAAAAUGGAAAGGAAAUCAGAUUACGGUGGAUUGAGAACUGAAUUGAAUGUGAGAAGACAGCAUUGGAGGUAAUGCUUUCAGGAAGCUCAAAUGGCGAGCAACAGGGUAGAAUCUGAGGAUGUGGGAAGAUGGUGGCAGAGGAUCUGGAGAGAGUUUUGUAUUUGCUUUUAUUGUGAAGAUUAAGGAUCCUCAUAAGACGACAGAAAGAAGACAACUGAAAAGAAGGCAAUUUUGAUACAAUAAAACAAACAAAGAAAAAUAAUAACUGAUGGAUCAAGGUUGAGAAAUAAGCAUUCCAGCGCUGAAGUGGAAGAAUUAGUCCAGUGAAGGAAUAUGGGAUAUUAGGGAAGGGUCUAGAAGUACUUAUAGGUUUGCAUAAGAAAAUAUCUUUGUAUAUAGAAGGGCAUAAAAAUUUGAGUUGGAUCAUUUUAUCCAGCACUACAUUUUUAGAAUGGUAAGGUUUGGUUGUCCCAAGUUUAAGGCUAUGGCAAUUCAUGCUAGAAGUAGUGUAAUGUCUUGCCUAAGAUCACAGAGCUAGGUAGUAAAUGAGGAAAAAGGGCAAAAAUCCUUGUCUCCUUUUUAUAUAGGGCUCAAAAGCAGCUUGACUGAAUCCAUCAAAAGUGGAUUUAUCUAUUUUCAAAAACUAACUUAAGAGCACGAUUUACAUGUAAACUGUAUGUUAAAUACGUACUUCUUUUUUUCAAACAUACAAUGUUGAUAUGUAUCUCUGAGUGAUUAUUUUCAGGAGGCAAAUUAAUACUUGCCAGCUUACAAACUUUUAAGAACUUUUCAUAUACUCUUUGGAUUGACAGAUAAUUUAACUGUGUUUAUUAACUUCAAAAGCAGAGGAUUCUCAUCACUCCCUAGGUGGUUAGUCUGAAAGGAUAACCUGUGGUUAAAAACCCCAUAUUUCAACAAAAGAGAAAGAGGAAAUGAAAUGCAUGGCUGAUUGCCUCCAUCACCAACUACCUCUUAUGCCAGAAGAACUGAAUGCUUUGAUCAAAGAUUCCAUAGAAGAAUCCUGAUCAAAAAGGAGAAAAUGUAGAACAGAAUUUCAAAUUCUCAUGGAACCCAGACUUUCUGCAGCCAUUGAGGCUAGAUGAACGCCAGAACCUAUUGCUCUGAGAUAAUCUUUAAACCUAAACCAAAAAUAUUGCCUGAAGUCUUUAAGCCAAACAAUAGUUUAGUAACUUAAGAACUGUACUCUUUCAAAAAACUAACCAUAUGGGAUCAAAUUGACAAGAGCACCCCAAAAGGUUAGAUAGGAAACUUAGCAGGCAGUGAGUUUAUGUUAAUGGGGGGGAACAAUUUGGAAAAGGAGAGUGAGAAUGGUUGCACAACUUGAAGAAUGUAAUCCACGUCAACGGAUUGUACAUGUAGAAAUUGUUGAAUUGGUGUAUGUUCUGUUAUGUAUAUUUCCAACAACAACUAAUAAAUUAUUUAAAAAUAUAUUUUAAAACAACUACAGAGGUAGACUGCCUGAAAUAUCUUUUAGGCAGAUUGGCUAAUUUGAAGGCACUCUACUUUUAAUUCUCAGGACUUGGUUUUUUUCCAAGGUAGGUUUAGAAAAUGUCUCCCAAAAUUCAUUUGAAUCAUAGAAUUGGACUGAUAAAGCCACUAUUGUAAAGUUCCAAAAGCUUUUUCAUGAAGGUAAGGAAGUUCUGUUAUAAGUAUUACAUUCCCAGAUUUAAUGUUAGAAACACAUUUAUCCUUCAUUCAACAAAUAUUUCUAAAGGGCCUACCACACACCGUACUAGGCACUCUAGCUACACAGAUGUGAAUGAGAACAAGCAACGUGCUUAAAGUAAUGAUCCCUCUAACUUAAUCAUUAAGAACUGAAAUAACAUAAACAAUGCUACUUGUUUUUCUGAAAAUUAAGUUGGAGCAUCAAUGAUUUUUGACAAAGAUUCAUCUAGGUUAUGUGUGAUUUGACAUGUGAGUAGACUUAAAUCUGGUAUUCACCAAAAUUAGGUCAUUACUUUUAGAAGGCACUACCAAAAUGGUGCUUUCUCCAUUUACAGGUAUCUAAAUUUUCCAAGUUGAAGGGUUGAGGAUGUAUAUUAUUUGGUAUAGUAAGUCACAAUGUCAAUUUGAUUGGCAUAUCGGCAUAUUGCAGCAUAAAAAAAAACCUGUAAAUUUCUAUUUGGGGAAUUUAUAUCAUAAAAACAUUGUAAUUCAUUUUAGGUGAUACAGGUUACAAAGGAAUAUCUAGCACUGUAUCUUUAAAAACAUGUAAUAAUGAAAGUGCAGGUGUAACCAAUAUAGCUAAAAAGAAGUACUUGGAUAAACAGCAAUGAAAAAAGCAAUAUGCUAUAUAGAAAAUGAAAACAUAAAUCAACAAUAAAAUGUAAUGGAAAUGUUGAAAUAGCCUAUAAAAUUGAUCUGAAAAUUUUCUGCAGAGAAAGUUGAUCAUAUUGCCUUAAACGUUUACUUGCUGAUGCUGUUAACAGGCAAAAUACAGCGUAUAACGUGAAAAAAAAAGCACUCUUGUUAAAACUUCUUUAGCUUACAAAAUUAAGGAAAAAAGAACAAGACUUUUAAACUAUGAACACCCACUGUUUGUAUGCUUAAUCUGCAAUAUGGUCAGAGAAAGGAGGGAAAAAAAAAAACUACAUUCAAAUAACUGAAAAAGAAAUCAAAUCAGCAAGUAUGUUAUUCUGAGUUUAACAGAAGCAGCAUUGAGGAAGACAUAUUGGUAAAGGAAACCCUCAAAGUAGAACGUUUUACUAUUAUUAAGAAUACUCUGCAUCUUACUGUGAUAUAUCCAAAGCCUCCUUCUUAAGUAGAUGAAUAAUAAUCUAUAGAUAAGAAAGGAAACAUCUGUUAUCAAUGCACAUAACUCCCACUAGCUUCAGUACUUGAAAUCAAAAAAUGGACACGAAUAAUCCCCAAAGAAGUUAAUCUUCAAAUAACUUUUUCCUUAGAGGCUACAAGAGCAACAUAAAAUUUCUAGGCAUUCCAGCACCUACUUACUUAUUCCACGUGACACAGCGAUGAUAAAAGUACUGGCUGGGCUUUUACACCAGAGCACUAAAUAUGAGAAGAGGUGAGGAGCACACAACCCAUUGAGUAUGGCCUGUAAUUCUAUAACAGGUAAAUUUAGUGUCCACUUUUUCCCCAAUCUUUUUAUUAUAAGGAAAUGGAUUGUUUAAAAGCAUGAAGUAAUGCUCUCACAGACAGAUCUGGGUUCAAGUAUACUUGCUAAACAGUUUUGUGAGCUUGGGCAAAGUACUAACUUUAUUAAGCUUCAGUUUCCUCUUUGGAAAAAAAUGGGAAUUAAGAUGACACCCCAGUAAGGUUGCUGUGAAGAUGACAUGAGACAGCAUAUUGAAAAAAAAAAAAAACUUAGCACAGUGCUUGACACCUAGGCAGAGCUCACCAGAUGCUUGGGGGUGAUUUAACAGAAAGGUACUACUCCAAACACUCCUAAAGGAUUUCAGGCCAGAACAAGAACACACUUUAAAAGAAAUGUGUAUGAUUCUAAUUCAUUUCAACCUUUUUAAAUGUGAAUGUUAUCAAUGCCAACUUGUAGAAACAUAUGUUACAAGCUGAUUAUGUUAGGAGAUUGUCUUAUUUAUAAGAACAUUCUCACUUACCUUGUCAUUUACCACACUCUUCCCAUCCCAAGCCCAGCCUCUUUUGGUGAAGUAAUUAACAGUUGCAAAUUCAAUUAGGGCAGAGAACACAAAUGCAUAGCAAACAGCAAUAAACCAGUCCAUGGCCGUUGCAUAAGCCACUUUGGGGAGAGAAUUCCGAGCACUGAUGCUUAGGGUUGUCAUUGUUAGCACAGUUGUUACUCCUGCAGAAGAAAAGACAGGAACCAAAAACAUCAGCAGGUUCUAGCAGGACAAGAUUGGAAGUGCGUGUGUGUUUUUUAAACAUCUUUUCAGUGUCACUUUUAACCAGUUAAAAAAAAAAUCUACCUGAAAGAAAACACAAAGUUAAUGACCUUAAAUGGUUAUUAUAUUUCUUAAAGUAAUGACUCUAAAAACACUGUCAAGUUUCACUUUUGUUCUGUAUGAAUCACCUUCUCUUUUUGUUUCUUAAAUACGGUUGAGGUUACAAAGGCUGAAGCAGAAUUUCCUAUGAGGAAAAGUAGGCACUUUAAAUCGACCUACUGCCGAUUAUCCUCAACUUAAAAUAAACAAACAAAAUAACGUUCACAAAGCCUCAUGUUAAUUUGUCCAUCAUUUAUUUAAAUUGCACGCUAAGCAAUGGACAAGACAACUGCACCAGUGAUCACUACGGAACCGUGAUUAAGAAGUUCUUCAUCAAAGUAUAGCUAUAUAGUAUGAAAUUAAUUCUGGAAUGCUAAGCAUUGUGAAGGAGUCCUGGUGGUGCACUAGUUAAGAGCUUGGCUGCUAACCAAAAGGUUGGCAGGUUGAAUCUACCAGCCUCUCCUUGGAAACCCAAUGGGGCAGUUCUACUCUGUCCUACAGGGUUGCUAAUGGACUCGAUGAUAAUGGGUUUUAAGAAUUGUGAGGACACAAUUUCUUUCUUAGUGAAGCUCACUGUCUAUAGAAAAUAAAACAAGCAGCUAAAAAAUAAAGCCCUAGAAAAAUGUAAAUCACUGCUUUUAAAGAACUGCUAAUACCUUUGUUGAUUUAAAAACAACCUAUUUUCUUUCACUCUAUCCCUUGUUUGCCAGUAGUCAGGAAAGUCACAAUUAUUAAGGAAAAAAGAAGGAAAUAACCAGGAGGUAGGCUGCCAUACCAGCUCUCAAAAUGUCUACAAUCACCUGCUUUAUCAGGGACCCAACAGAAGUUUAAUUAUGUACAUAAGGGAUCAGUUAAUGUAAAAGAAAAUUAAAGGUUAAAGAAAUUUUCAUUCAUAUUUUGAAGAUGUUUGUAUUUUAGAAUAAAGCACCUGCUUUUAUUUUUGUUUUUUUCCUCAACUGCAAUACAGUCUACUCCACUGCCUUGGAGUUGGUUCCGACUCAUGGUGAUCCCAUAUGUUACAGAGAACUGUGCUCCAUAGGGUUUCUGGGUGCGGUCUUUACAAAAGCAGGUGGACAGGCCUUUCUUCCUGGGCACUACUGGGUUGGUUGGCACUGGCCAACUUUAGGGUAGCAGUCUAGCACAAUCCAUUUGUACUACUCAGGGACCUCUUACAACACAAUUAGUGAUUCAAAACUAGCAAUAAUUCUAUUUAAUCAUGCGUGAACGCAUCUGGGAAUGUGAUGGCAGUAGUAGGAAUAAAGGUAGGAAAAUAAAUCUAGUUUACCUGCUGCUGAGUCAAUACUAAAAAUGUUUACAAAAUCACAGCAAGCUUGUGCUUGAAUACAUCAAACUGCUCAAGGUUUAGAGUGGUAAAAUGAUUUCUUUUGAGACUCUGCUACAGAAGAAUAAAUAAAUUGAGUAUAAGGCAGACACAUGCACAUAAACAUACAUGAACACACUAUAGAAGAUGCAAAUGACAAGUCAUUUGAUAUAUGAAAAUAUAUUCAACUUCACUAGCAGUCAAGGAAAUGCAAACAAAGCAAAAAUGUCUUUUUAGACAAUACUAUCAGCAAAAUAUGAGCAAAACUUUAAAGGGUCCAUAGUAUCUGGUACUGAGGAAGAUGUGAGGCAACGUACACCCUCCUUCAUAGAGAUUAUAAAUUGAUUCUACCUCUUUGGAAAGUUAUUUGGCAACAUCUCCUAAUAUUUUUUAACGGCUUCAUAAACGUAUAAUCAACAUACAAUAAACUGUCUAUAUAUAAAGUGUAAGUGUGACUACAAUCAAGAUAACAGCUAUAUCUGUCACCCCUAUUGUAAUCCUCCCUGCAACCCCCUUCUCAUCCCCAGCCAACCACUGACAUGCUUUCUGACACUAUAAAUCAGUAUGCACUUUCUAGAAUUAUACAUAAAUGAACUUAUACAGCGUGUGUACUUUUUUGUCUGGGAUCAUCAUAAUUACUUUGAAGUUUAUCCGUUAGGUAGUGUGUAUUUAUAGUUCGUUGCCUUUUAUUGUGGAGUAAUAUUUCAUUGUAUGAUGUACUACAAUUCGCUGACCCAUGUAUUGGUUGGUACUCAUUCGGACUGCAUGCAUUUGGGGGCCGUUGCAAAUAAAGCCUAUGUACGGACAUAUGCUUUCAUUUUUUUGAGUACUUUUGUUGCUAUUUUUUAUUAAGAUGAAAUUUAAAUAAUAUAAAACUUACCAUUUUAAGAUGUACGGUAUAUUCACGGAAACCCUGGUGGUGUGGUGGUUAAGUGCUACGGCUGCUAACCAAAAGGUUAACAAUUCAAAUCUACCAGGCACUCCUUGGAAACUCUAUGGGGCAGUUCUACUCUGUCCUGUAGGGUCGCUAUGAGUUGGAAUUGACUCGAUGGCAGAGGGUGGGUAUAUUCACAAUGUUGUGCAGGUAUCACCACUAUCUAAUUCAAGGAUAUUUUAAUCAUUCCUAAAAGAAACCCCGUAUCUGCUAGUUGUCACUCCCAAUUCUGCCCUUCCACUAGGGCCUGGGAACCACUAAACUACCUUCAGUCUCUAUGGAUGUGCCUAUACUGGACAUUUCUUAUAAAUAAAAUCACAUAAUAUGUGACCUUUAUGGCUUAUUUUACUUAGCAUGUUUUCAAGGUUCAUCCAUGUUGUAGCACGUCAAAACAAAAACAAAAAAACACAGUUGCUGUUGAGUUGAUUCUGACUCCUGUGACCCCACCUGUGUCAGAAUAGAGCCGUGCUCCACAGAAUUUUCAACGGCUGUGACCCUUCAGAAGUAGAUUGCCAGGCCUUUCUUCCAACAUGCCUCUAGGUGGAUUCAAACUGCCAAGCUUUCAGUGAGUAGCCGAGUGUUUAACCACUGUGCUACCUUUCUAUGGCUGAAUAUAUCUCAUUGUACACAUACACCACAUUUUGCUUAUCCAUUUGGACAUUUGGGUAGUUUUCACCUUUUGGCUAUUAUAAAUAAUGCUGCUAUCAGCAUUAAUGUACAAUUUUUUGUUUGGACUUAUGUUUUCGAUUCUCUUGAGUACAUACUAGGAGUGGAAUUUCUGGAUCAUAUGGUAACUCUAUGUUUAAUUUUUGAAGAUAUGUCAAGCUGUUUUCCACAAGGACUGCACCAUUUCACACUCCCACCAGCAAUGUAUGAGGGUUCCAAUUUCUUCACAUCCUUGUCAACACUUGUUUUUGUCCAUUUUUUAUUUGUUUUAUACUCAUCCUAGUUAUGUGAAGCGAUACCUAAUUGUGGUUUUGGUUUAUAUUUUCCAAAUGCUUAAUGGGCUUAAUAUUCCAUUGCUAUUGAUAAGGUUUUCACUGGCUAAUUUUUGCUAGAGGUCAUUCAAAAGCGGUUGCAGCAAUAUAGCGACAGGGAACUGCCAGAAAUUCAAGCAUGGAAUGAAGGAUAUCACUACUGAUGUCAGAUGGAUCUUGGUUGGAUGCAGAAAAUACCAGAAAGAUGUUUACCUGUGUUUUACUGACAAUGCAAAGGCAUUCGGCUAUGUGAAUCAUAACAAAUUAUAGAUAACAUUGUUAAGAAUGAGAAUUCCAGAACACUUAAUUGUGCUCAUGAGGAACCUGUACAUAGACCAAGAGGCAGUCAUUCGAACAGAACAAAUGGAUACUGUGUGGUUUAAGUCAGGAAAGCUGUGCAUCAAGGUUGUAUCCUUUCACCAUACUUAUUCCGUCUGUAUGCUGAGCAAAUAAUCCAAGAACCUGGACUAUAUGAAGAAGAAUGGGGCAUAAGGAUUGGAGGAAGACUCAUUAACAAUCUACAUUACGCAGAUGACACGACUUGCUUCCUGAAAGUGAAAAGGACUUGAAGUCCUUACUGAUGAAAAUCAAAGACUACAGCCUUUACUAUGGAUUACAUCUCAACAUAAAGAAAACAAAAAUCUUCACAACUAGACCAACAAGCAACAUCACUUGGAUCCACGAUCAACACCCAUGGAAGCAGCAGUCAAAAAAUCAAAAGACACAUUGCAAAGGGCAAAUCUGCUGCAAAAGAUCUCAUUAAAGUGUUAAAAAGCAAAGAUGUCACUUUAAGAACUACGGUGUGCCUAACCCAAACCAAGGUAUUUUCAAUAGUCCCAUGUGCAUGAGAAAGCUGGGCAAUGGAUAAGGAAGACUGAAGAAGAAUUGAUGUCUGUGAAUUAUGACGUUCGUGAAGAAUACUGAAUAUACCACAGAUUAUCAAAAGAACGAACAAAUCGAUCUUGGAAGGAGGAUAGCCGGAAUGCUCAUCAGAAGCAAGGAUGGUAAGACUUCCUCUCACAUACUUUGGGCAGGUUAUCAGGAGGGACCAGUCCCUGGGGAAGGACAUCAUCCUAGGUAAAGUGGAGGGUCAGCUAAAAAGAAGACUCUCAAUGAGGGGCUGUGAAUCAGAAGCGACUAGACAGCACCUGCCUAAUGAUGUUCAGCUUCUUUUCAUAUGAUUUUUGGCCACUUGUUUUUCUUUGUAUAAGUGUGUAUUUAAAACCUUUUCAAACUUUUCAUUAUGUUAUUUGCCUUUUUAUUUUGAGCUGGAAGAUCUUCAUAUAUUCUGGAUGACAGGCUCUUAUCAGAUAUAUGAUUUGGAAGUAUUUUCUCUCAUUGUAUGGACAGUCUUUUGCAUCCUUGAUAGUGCCCUUUGAUGCUCAGAAGUUUUUAAUUUUGAUGAAGUCCAAUUUAUCUAUUUUUAUUUGUUUGUUUUUACAUUUAGUAUCAUAUCUAAGAAACCUUGCCCUAAUCCAAGGUUCUGAAGAUUUACUCUAUCUUCUUCUAAUACUUCUGUAGUUUUAGUCUUUACAUUCAGAUCUUUGAUCCAUUUAGGGUUAAUUUUUUUGUAUGGUGUAAAGUUGGGGUACAAUUUAAUUCCUUGCAUGUGGAUAUACAGUUUCCCCAGGACCAUUUGUUAAAGAGACUUCUCUUUCCCUGUUGAAUGGUCUAGGCAAUCUUGUUAAAAACCAAUUGGCCAUAGAUAUAUGGGUUUUAUUACUGGACUCUCAAUUCUAUUUCAUUUAUCUAUACAUCUAUCCUCAUGCCAGUAUGAAACUGUUUUGAUGACUGUAGCUUUGUAUUAAGUUUUGAAAUCCGGACAUGUGAAGUUUUCCAACUUUAUUUUUCUUUUUCAUGAUUGUUUUGGCUAUUCUGGGUCCCAUGCAAUUUCAUAUGAAGAUCAGCUUUCCACUUCUGAGGGAAAAAGGGCCACUGGAAUUCUGAUAGGGAUUAUGCUGAAUUUGUGGGUCACUUUGGGUAAUACUGACAUCUUAACAAUAUUAAGUCUUCCAAUUCCAAUUCAAGAAUACAGGAUAUCUUUCUAUUUAUUUAGGUCUUCUUUAAUUUCUUUCACCAAUGCUUUGUAGUUUUCAGAGUGCAAGGCUUCCCAGAUUUUUCUAUUUGUCUUUUGGCAGUUCAAUUAUGUGUCUUAUUGUGUAUCUCUUUGAGGCUAUUCUAUUUGUAGUUCAUUUGUAGUUCAAAGAGCUUCAUAAACAUAUUAUUAAUGUCUUUCUUUAAAUUUGGGAAAUCCUUGGCCAUUGAGUGUUCCAAAUAAUCUUUCUCUUUUCCUCUCUGCUCUCCUGUGGCUACCAUAUGCAUAUGUAGGUUUGCUCGAUGGUGUCCAACAGGUAUCUUAGCUUCUGUUCAUUUUUCUUCAUUUAUUUUACUUCCUGUUCCUCAGACUCAAUAAUCUUAAUUUACCUAAUUUCAAGUUCACUGAUUCUUCUGACUGCUCAAAUCUGCUUUGAGUCCCUCUAAUUAAUUUUCAUUACAGUUAUGGUGCUGUUGAACUACAAAAUUUCUACUUGUUUACUUUUUAUAAUUUCUUUCUGUUCCUUGAAACUUUGUUUGAUGAGAGAUCAUUAUUAUGCAUUCCUUUAAUUCUUCAGACGUGGUUUCCUUUGGCUCUUUUAGCAUAUUUAAAAUAGCUUAUUUAAAGUUUUUGGCUAGUAAGUGCAAUGUGUGGGCAUCCUCAGAGAUGAUUUCUAUCGAACGAUUUUAUUCCUGUGAGUGGGCAUCAUUUCUUGUUCCUUUGCAUGCCUCAUAACUUAGUUGAAAACUGAAUGAUUUGAAAUAUUGCAAUGUGACAACUAGAAAUCAGGUUUUUGUUCAGGUUUGUUGUUGCUGCUGCUUGAUGUACUUGCUCUGGCUUAUUCAUUUAUUUUUUUAGUGACUUUUAUUAAUGGAAUCGACUCGAUGGCACUGGUUUUUUUAAUUAACUAAUACUGUGAUGUCUAUAUUCUUUGUUGUUUGUAGUCAUUGAAGUCUCUGUUCCAUUAGUUUGGUGGUCAGCUAAUUAUUGGGCAGAGGUUUCCUUGAACACAUGGAAACAAAAUUUUUCCUAGUCUUUACCAAGUGCUUCUUGUGUGCAGGCGUAAGGCAUUUCUUCAACACUCAGCCAGGCAGUGUACUAAUCUGCCUUAGCCUGCACUACCUUCCUGUAUGGUACCUCAGGUCAGCCAGACAUGAGAGCUUAGUUGCUGCAGCCUUUGGUUGAUUUCAAAGUUCUGAAAGAGUUAAUAAUGACAGUGUUUUCCAAAUUUUUCAUUUCUUCUAUACCAAAAACCCAUUGCCGUGGAGUCAAUUCUUACUCAUAGAGACCCUACAGGACAGCGCAGAACUGCCCUGUAGGGUUUCCAAGGAGCGGCUGGUGGGUUUGAACUGCAGGCCUUCUGGUUAGCAGCAAAAUGGCUUAACCACUGCUCCAUUUCUUCUAUGGAGGGGCAAAAUUUUGGAAUUCCUUGCUCCACAUUUUUGCUGGUAUCACCUCUCAUAACAUUUGGAAUGGGUAUAUUCUGCGAACCAGCAAUUCCACUUGUACCUGAGUCAGGGUAGUAUAAACUGUUAGCAAUAUUGUGGCUGUCUUCAGAAGGUCUCACAUCAGACUGCCUGGGUUUGAAUCCUGGUUCCACUAUUUGCUGCCCCGUGAUUUUGAACAAGUUACUCAACAGCUUUCAUUACUUUCUUCAUUUACAAAAUACAAAUAUAAACAGUACCUACUUCCUGGGAAUGUUCUGAGGGUUAUGUAUAAUAUACUUGAAGCACUUAGCACAAAGCCUGGCACAUUUUAAAUAUUCAAUAAACGUUAACUACUUUAGUUCUUUUUAUUUUUGUUAUUAUUGUUACUAGUAUUAUGAGAAAUCGUUCUUACUGAAAUGAGAGCAAAAAAAUAAAUAGAUAUAAAUGAUGCAUAAAGCUUUUCAGGUGAGCUUUGUCUGUAACAGCCAAAGAAUGACAACAUUUGGCAUAGUCACUGAUUGGGAAAUAGUUUAAUAAAUUGUAGAAUACCUACACUACGAAUACCAGGAAAAAAUUACAACAAAUGAAGCAGUGCUAUGCAUGAUUGCAAAUAUGUCUACAGUAAGUCUGUUUUAAAAAGUUUCAUAAUUUAAUUUUAAUCAAAAUAUGUUUGCUUAGAUAUGUAUACCAAUAUACAUACAUAUGCCUGUAUGAACUUAGCAAAAAAAAAAAGUACUGUAUGAAUUAGUAAAAAAAUCAGAAAAGAUAUCUAAUAGUUACCACUUUGGGGGAGAAUGUAGUAUACAGAUUGAAUAGAUAAAAUAGGAAGUGGACUUUCAGCUGAUUUUUUAUUGUUUUACAUAUUUGGUAUUUUAAAAUAAACUAUCAGAAAGAAAAAGGAGGAAAUCUGUAAGUGUACAAGAAACUAGUUGCCAUCAAGUUGAUUGAGACUCAUGGCAAGCCCACGCGUAUCACAGUAGAACUGUGCUAAACAAGGUUUUCAGUGGUUGAUUUUUUAGAAGUAGAUUGUCAGGCUUUUCUUCCAAGGCAGCUUUGAGUGGACUCAAACAUCCAACAUUUUGGUUAGCAGCCUUGUGUGUAGCCUUUUGCACCACCCAGGGACUCCAAACAAAGAUGAUAACGAUACUUGUUACCUUUAAGAAUUAACAUUGAAGGAAUUUUAUUAUUUUCUUUCUUUUCCGCAGUGAACCUGCACUGUGAUUCUGAUUUGAAAUAUAUACAUAUAUAUAAAAUGUUUAAUUAUUUAAAUUAUUUAAAGGGAAGUUUGAUGACUUUCAUCAUUUCUCACUUAAGUGGGAAUUGGAAAUAAUGACUGAUAAAUGCAUUAGUGCUGCCUAAAAAAAACAAAACAAAACAAAAUAACAACAACAAAAAAAACUAUAGUAAAAUAAUGGCAAACCUAAAUUUUAUUCUAAGUCCAAAUUGUUACUUUAAAAUUAGCUUUGGGGUCAUUCAUUCAAACCAAUGAAAUGUUACAGCAAUUUCAAUAUGAAUCUACUUUGGGGCUACAUUCCCCUGUAUACAAGUAAGGAUGAGUAUUUAUUUUCUUUCAUCAAAUUUUAAAAACUUGCCAAAAAAUUGUUAACUUAGUCUGCAGAUUUCUUUCCUCUCUCUGUCCCCCGCUUCCUCCCCUCUUAUGUUUUUUUUCUUUGCACUGCAAGGAUAAGUUUCUCAUAGGCCUGAUUUUCUGCCUGCUGGUUUGGUGCAGCGUAGUCUCACUAGCACCCUAAGUAGAAAGAGUUGGGCAUAAAUAAAAUGAUGCACUUACCUGGAAAGCUCAUAAACCUUCCACAUGCCUGUCCCCCAACAAUGGACAUGUUGCUGCCCAUAGAAGCACACUCUACAAAUGAGUGUUCCUCUCAAUGUUUCUUUAAACACAAUUCUUCUUCCUUUAUUACCUUUGUGUAACCUCCAUAACUCACUUCUCUGGAGGCUUAAGUUUGUUUCUCGGCAAAAUAAAAAUGCAAUACAAAUAAAAAGUGCUCUUGGUACUACAUAUAUCUAUUUUCAUAUAUAUAUAUGUAUUUUUAUAUGUAUUUUUUUUAUAUAUACAUAUAUACACAUAUGUACAUGUAUAUAUGUAUGUCUAUUAUGUGUGCACAUUGUGUCUGUGUAUGAGAUACAUGCUACCUUUUCCUGUACAUGAACAAUAUCUAGCAUACAGCUACCGCUUUUAUAUGGUGGUUUUAUUCCAUAUAAUAUUUCCUAUCUUAAGGUGUAGAUGCCCAAGAACCUUACAUAAUUAAUUGAUAUUUCAACUUAGAACAGCUGAGUAAAUGAUGUCUAAGCAAGGGAAUGCUGGGAGUUGAGUGAAAUUGUACACUUACAAGAAGAAAGUCACAUCAGGGGAGGUGGUUUCAGAGUAGAGGCAGACACUGAGGCUCCAGGACCUGAAUUCUAACCUUGUGACACGACUAAAUUUUUAACCUCGUUGUACUUCAGUUUCCUCAUUUGCAAAGCAGGAAUUAAAAACAGUGCUUUCCAAGUGAGCUGUUUUACAGAACAAAUGAGUUACUGCAUGUGAAGCAUUUAAAACAGUGCCUCUCUUAUAAAAAUAGAAUUUAAUACAUGUGAGAAAAUACAUUAUCAUCUUCAAAGUAAAGUCAAGGUAGAUUUCAAUCAGAAAAAUAAAACCAAAUCCUCUUGUAGAACUUUAUCCCCAUCAAAAGCCUGUAUGUGGGUGUUUGUGGUUGGGAUGUGGGGCAGAGUUAGGAAAAAGCAUCAGAAACCAAAAAGGCACACAAAAAACGGCAAUAUAACAGGCAUGCAAGAUUGUUUGAUACCACCUGCUGGUUACUGGUAGAAAUGGCAGGAACAGCAGGCAUUCUGAUAAGAAAAGUAUUUUUCCUCCUUUGACCCAAUGGACAAAGCAAUAUUCUCCCCACUCCUCUAAGAUAUAACUUUUACAAAUACAUUCUAAGUGCACUAUGAAAGGCUGCAUUUUUAACUCAUUACUGUACUACAUAUGAAUAAUAAAAACAUUGAAACUUCUGUGUGCUACAAAGAGAAAUUAAAAUUCAAUUAACAUAUCUUUGUCAUAAAACCUAACUAACUCAAAAUUGACUAAUUUAAAAUUUGAUCUAAAAGAAAAUAUUGAAAAGGUUGCUUAGAGAGUGGACAACACUGAGAGAAUUAUAAAUUUUUCUUUUGGCUCAUCUCAAUAUACCAUGGAUUCACUACAUACAAAACUCAUAUUCCUCUCCAAACACCGUCUUCUGCCUGAGGUGCUUCUCACAAUGAAAGGCAUCACAAUUUAAGUGAUGACAUUUUCAUACUCUAGCUUCAAGUUGUGGAGCCAUAGAUAUUUUGUCAGUCUGGGAAAGUGCACGUUUUCUCUACCUAGAAUCCUUUCCCUGGAACCAGCCCCUUUAUGAGUUAAGUAGCUCCUAUUCCUUUCCUGGAGCCCUGGUGGCACAGUGAUUAAAAGCGCUGCUGCUAACCAAGGAGUCAGCAGUUCAAAUCCACCAACUGCUCCCUGGAAACCCCAUGGGGCAGUUCUACUCUGUCCUAUAGGAUCAUUAUGAGUUGGAAUUGACUUGAUGGCAGUGAAGUUUUUAUUCUUUCCCUUAAUGAUCACUGAGUACUUACUAAAUUGCAGUACUUUUUUAGGUACUGGGAAACACAUCGGUUAACAAAAAUAGCAAAGAUACCUACUCCCUAAGAGCACAAAUCCUAUUAAUGCUGCAGAAGGCACAGUUCAGGUUUUAGCUUCUGUAAGAUCUCUUUCCUAAAGACCUAGCUCUAUGCAUACCUCUGUAAUAUCACAUCUCUUUUGAAUUUUAUGUUGGUUUACAUAACUGUAUCCCCCAAUAUACUAUAUGGAUCACAGCCUAUUUGUCUUCUCCCUAAAAUGCCUAAAGUGCUUAAUAGAGGGUAAAAUCUCAUUAAAUGUUUUCUGAAUAGAUUAACUAAUCCUCCACCAAGGAUCUGCAUUUAAUAAGCAUUUAUUAAUAAGCUACUUGCAAGAAAUCUAUUCCUUCAUUUAUGAAACAAACAUGAAUUUUUCCCCAUUUUGUACCAGACACUGAGGAGCAAGGAUGCAAAGUGAGCAAAAGCAGAUAAAAUCUCUAAGAGAUAUUAACACAAUAAAAGCACAAAGUAACUUAACAACACAACUGGGCAAGGACUAUUAUGGUCUGUAAUACAGUGAUCUGACCUAGACUGGGAGGUUGGGUGAGAUUUCCUUAAGGAGUUAAAAGAAUACCUGAAAAUGGAAGAGCAUUCAAUAUCCCAGAGAAAUAAAAGCCUUUACACGAACAGAUAUAUGCACACCCAUGUUCACUGCAGCACUGUUUACAAUAGCAAAAAGAUGGAAGCAGCCAAGGUGCCCAUCAAUGGAUGAAUGGAGAAAUAAAUUAUGGGAUAUUCACACAAUGGAACAAUGGAAUACUAUGCAACAAUUAAGAAGAACGAUGAAUCAGUGAAACAUAAAAUAGAAGAACCUGGAAGGCAUUAUGCUGGGUGAAAUUAGUCAAUUGCAAAAGGAAAAAUAUUUAUGAGAUCACUAUUAUAAGAACUCAAGAAAAAUAUUAACCACAGAAGGAAAUAUUCUUUGAUGGUUAUGAGGGUGGGGAAGGAGGGAGAAGGGUAUUCACUAACUAGAUAGUAGACAAGAACUAUUUUAGGUGAAGGGAAAGACAACAAACAAUACAGGCGAGGUCAGCAUAACUGGACUAAACCAAAAGCAGUUUCCUGAACACAACUGAACAUUUUGAAGGCCAGAGUAGCAGGGAUGGGGGUCUGGGGACAUUGGUUUCAGGGGACAUCUAGGUCAAUUGGCAUAACAAAAUGUAUUAAGAAAACAUACUGCAUCCCACUGUGGUGAGUGGCAUCUGGGGUCUUAAAUGCUGGCAAGCAGCCAUCUAAGAUGCAUCAAUUGGUCUCAACCGACCUGGAGCAAAGGAGAAUGAAGAACACCAAAGAUACAAGGUAAAUAUGAGACCAAGAGACAGAAAGGGCCACAUAAACCAGAGACUACAUCAGUCUGAGACCAGAAGAACUAGAUGGUGCCCAGCUACCACUGACCACUGCCCUGACAGUGAACACAACAGAGAAUCUGAUGCAGCAGGAGGACAGACCUCAAAUUCUUGUAGAAAGACCAGACUUAAUGGCCUGACUGAGACUAGAGGAACCCUGGAGGUCAUGGUCCCUGUACCCUCUGUUAGCCCAAGACUGGAACCAUUCCCAAAGCCAACUCUUCAGACAGGGAUUGGUCUGGACUGUAAGACAGAAAAUGACACUGGUAAGGAGUAAGCUUCUUGGCUCAAGUGGACAGAAGAAACUAUGUGGGCAGCUCCUGUCUGAAGGCAAGAUGAGAAGGCAGAGGGGGACAGGAGCUGUUUGAAUGGACAAGGGGAAUGCAGGGUGGAGAGGAGGAGUAUGCUGUCUCAUUAGAGGGAGAGCAGCUAGGAGUACAUAGCAAGGUGUACAUAAGUUUUUGUAUGAGAGGCUGACUUGAUUUGUAAACUUUCACUUAAAGCACAAUAAAUAAAAAGUUGUAUAAUGAAAAAAAAGGAAGAACAUUCUAGAUUGAAUAAAUAGCAUGUACAGAAUCCCUUGAGCAUAGGGAAUUAUAGAGGUUAGGAGUAAUGGAAAGAAGCAUGCAAAGUGGGAAGGCUAAACAUAAGGGCAUUAUGGAAGGUUGGAGAGGGAAGCAGGAGCCAGACCAUUCAGGACAUGUUGACCAAGUUAAGGUGAUUUCAAGAACAAUGAGGAGCCAUUAUGGAGUUAAUUUUAAGUAAGAUAGUGAUCAGUAUUUCUUUUUUAAAAUAUCAUCCUGAAUGACAUAUAUAAAUGGUCUGGAAGAGGAAUAAGUUAAUUUGAAAAGGAACAAAGAGGCUGCAGGACACUUAGUUUGGAGGCUAUUGCAAUGCUCUGUUAAUUUGGACUAAGAUGGAAAACUAAAUGUAGAGAGAAGUGGACAGAUAGAGAUAUUUUAGGAUGUACAUGCAGGAUAGAGAUGGAUUAGUCUGGGGGUGAAAAAAGGGAAGAUUUAAAUCAUAUCCCCUAACGUAUUUCUAGUAACUAACGUAUUUCUAGUAACUAAGAUACAGUCAAAUCAAGUGGUUUCUGCUUAGAGAUGUAGAGUUGGGAAAGUGCAUCACGCCCACCUUACAACAAUAGCCAAAAAAUGUGAAAAUUAAUGACUUUUCUUGUAAUCAUCAGAAAAUUGAGGCUUCAGGGCCAGUAACUAACCUAAAAUCUUGAGAGAGAGGCAUUUUUGCAGAAAGAAACAGGAUCCAAGCAUUUGCAUCUCUGGGACAGAUUUUCUUUUGACUCGGCUAGACACUUUUAACAAAUUGCUAAAGGCUAAAUGCAGGCUAAUAGGAGAGUGUAAAGACCUGGGGGCCUGCAGAUAUAUGGGAUUUCUAUCUUUCAUUCACUCGGAGGCUUUUCUCCCUGCAAGUUCACCAGAUAUUCAUAGGAAAGAUCUGAUGAAUCUUGAGAAAAUUCCCCAAUGGUAUUGGUUUGGGUAGGGGAACAACCCUCAUUUCUGAAACUCUGUGCUCACUCACUUUCACUAUCUCCCCUAUAACAGAAUUUAUUCCAUCAUUUUCAGGGAGAAUGAUAACAAAAAUUGUAGCCUGAGGGCACUGAUGGAAAUCCAAUGCAGCUGGGGGAGAAAAAGUUGAAAAAAAAAAAAAUCUCUAUCCUUGCAGAAGGGGCAGAAAUUCUCGCUAGGUCCGAAACAACAUCUGGAACAAGGGCAAAAACACUUGCAAAGGUCAAGUCAUAUCCCUGAGACCCAGGAUUUCAGUACCUGACUAAAACUGAGCCUUGAUCAGAACAUAAGAGAACACUGAAUAAAAUAAUACUGGAAUAUGCUGGGAGAGCCGCAAGACAGAGAUUCUUUCUGGAGAUUAGCCCAAAAGGAAGACCCAAGUCAAGUGGGGUACAGACAUUGAUAUAAAUUCCCUGGAAAAUUAAUUCAUACCAUAAGCUCCUAAAUGUAUUAUUAUUAUUACAGAAAUUUGAUGGUUCUGGUGUUCAGAUGGUAACCAUAGCAACAGCAAACUUCAAACCCAGUUUAACUCCUAACUAGAUUAAUAAAAAUCUCCACAUAAAAGGCCUAGCAGAAGUAAAGGCAUGCUCAUAUUUAAGCAUAAAAUAUAUUUACAUCAGUAUAUAUGGUAUUGAAAAGCAUGUCUGGGUUUCAACGAAAAAACUAUAAGACAUACAAAAAGGUAAGGAAAAACGCAGUCUGAAGAGACAGCAAUCAUCAGAACCAGACUGAGAUAUGACACAGAUGCUGGAACUAUUAAGAUACAGGGAGUUUAACAUAAUUAUGAUUCAUAUGUUAAAGUACAAGAAAGAGUAUAUGACACACAAUUUCAGAUAGGUAUACUGCCAGGCACACAGAGCAGUCUGCAAUGCCUUUCCUCCUUUACCACAGUUCAGGGAUAUUCACACAGAAACAUAAUGCCAAAUAUGCAAACUGUUCAGGUUAUAGAACAGCACUUGAACAAAAAAAAAAGGGACGCCAAAGCCAAAGUAAUAAAUAAUUAGUGGCAAACAUUAUAACCGCAGCAUUUGCAAGCAAAGGCUCUUAUUCAUAUCAUUUAUAAAAACCUCUGUGCUCCACGUGAAUUUUGAGAAGGUACUGUCAUAGAUUAAAUUAUGUCCCUCCAAAAUGUGUGUAUCAAUUUGGCUGGGCCAUGAUUCCCAGUAUUGUGUAGUUGUCCUUCAUUUUGUGAUUGUAAUUUUAUGUUAAAGAAGAUUAGGGUGAGAUUGUAACACCCUCACCCAUGUCACAGCCCUGAUCCAAUGUAAUGGAGCUUCCCUGGGGUGUGGCCUGCACCAUCUUUUAUCUCUCAAGAGAUAAAAAGGAAAGGGAAUUAAGCAGAGAAGGGGGACCUCAUACCACCAAGAAAGUAGUGCCUGGAGCCGAGCGCGUCCUUUGGGCCCGGGGUUCCUGUGCGGAGAAGCCCCUAGUCCAGGAGGAGACUUAUGAGAAGGCUGACAGAGAGAGAAAGCCUUCCACCAGAGCUGAUGCCCUGCAUUUGGACUUCUAGCCUACUAGGCUGUGAGAAAAUAAAUUUCUCUUUGUUAAAGCCAUUCACUUAUGGUAUUUCUGUUAUGCAGCAUUAGAUGACUAAGACAGGUAUAUAAGCAAAGACCGAGAGUAAGAGUCCUGAAAGGAAAUAUCAACGCUUCCUCUUAGGUUACGGAAUAAGACACACAGUGAAUGAGCAAUAUAACAUUAACAAUGCAAGAAGAAAGAGAAUCCCGAACCUAAAAAAAAAAUUCUUUAAGCCAUGCCUGCAUUUGUAAUAUUGCUAAAACCUUAGUAGCUACUGGGGCCUGUAUUGGGGCCUGUCAUGGAUUGAAUUAUGUCCCCCCAAAAAUGUGUAUAUCAGCUUGGUUAGGCCAUGUGUAGUUGUCUUCCAUUUUGUGAUUGUAAUUUUAUGUUGAGAAGAUUAGGGUGGGAUUGUAACAUCACUUUUACUCAAGUCAACUCCCUGAUCCAAGGUAAAGGGAGUUUCCCUGGGUGUGGCCUGCACCACCUUUUAUCUCUCAAGAGAUAAAAGGAAAGAGAAGCAAGCAGAGAGUUGGGGACCUAAUACUACAAAGAAAACAGCACUGGGAGCACAGCACUUCCUUUGGACCUGGGGUCCCUGUGCCUAAGAAGCUAUUGACCGUGGAAAGGUUGAGGACAAGGACCUUCCUCCAGAGCUGACAGAGAGAGAAAGACUUCCUCUGGAGCUGACAUCCUGAAUUUGUGCUUGUAACCUACUAGACUGUGAGAAAAUAAAUUUCUUUUUGUUAAAGCCAUCCACUUGUGGUAUUUGUGUCAUGGCAGCACUAGAUGACUAAGACCAAAAACCCAUUGCUGUCGAGUCAACUGCGACUCAUAGUGACCCUACAGGACAGAGUAUAACUGCCCCACAGAGUUUCCAAGGAGUGCCUGGUGGAUUUGAACUGCUGACCUUUUGGUUAACAGCUGUAGCACUUAACCACUAUGCCACCAGGGUUUCUGAUGACUAAGAGAGGGACCUACAAAAACUGAUUUCAAGUUAAUUGUAUUGUGCCUAUAGAGUUGAUUUUCUACAGUGGAUUCAGGCACUCUCAACAGAUCUUUCCAAUGCCUUCCUUAAGGCCUAGAAAGCAGGUAGAAUACUGAUUAACAUCAAGAACUUUGGAGAAAAAUGCACAAAAAAACAACAAAAGACAAAUGAGAUAAUUGAGACCUCCUGAAAAUUAAAUAUUUAUGCUCAUCAAAGCACUUUACCAAAAGAGUAAAAAGAGUACCUACACAAUGUGAAAAAAAUCUUUGGUGACAACAUGUCUGAUAAGGGUCUAGACUCUAAAAUAUAUAGAAAACUUCAACAACUCAACAACAAAAAUAUAAACAAUCCAUAGCAAAGGACAUGAACAAAAUGUUCGCCAAAGAGGACAUUUAGGUGGCUAACACACAUGAAAAGAUGCUCGCGAUCAUUAGCCAACAAAGAGGUGCAAAUCAAAACUACAAUGAGAUACCAUCUCAUCCCUGCAAAAAUGACACUGAUCAAAAAAAAAAAAAAACAGAAACCAACAGACACUGGCCAGGUUGUAGGGAUACUGGAACUCUUAUACACUGCUGGUGGGAUUGUAAAAUGGUACAACUCUCAACGAGGUGAACCAACACAAUGGCUACAACUGUGGGCACAAGCAUAACAUUGAUCGUGAGGAUGGCACAGGCCUAGGCAGGGUUUCGGUCUGUGAGUGGCCAUCUAAGAUACAACUAUUGGUCUCUACUCAUCUGGAACAAAGGAAAAUGAAGGAAGCCAAAGACUCAAAGGGUCACUAUGAGUCAUAAUUGAAGUCAGAAAAUGAAGGAAGCCAAAGACUCAUAGGGUCACUAUGAGUAAGAAUAGGCUCAACGGCACCUAAUAACAACAAAAAGAACAACUCUGGAAAACUGCGUGGCACUUCCUCAAAAAGCUAGAAAUAGAAAUACCUUAUGAUCCAGCAAUCCCACUCCAAGGUAUAUAUCCUAAAGACAUAAGAGCAGUGAUAUGAGUGGACAUAGGCACACCUAUGUUUCAUUGCAGCAUUAUUCACAAUAGCAAAAGGAUGGAAACAACCUAAAUGCCCAUCAGUGGAUGAAUGGAUAAGUAAAAUGUGGUAAAUGCAUACAAUGGAGCACUAUGAAAUUAUAAAGAAUAACGAGGAGUCCAUGAAAUAUAACAUGGAUGAAUCUGAAGGACAUCAUGCUGAGUAAAAUAAGUCAAUCACAAAAGGACAAAUAUUGUAUGGUCCUACUUUUAUAAAAAGUCAAGAAUAGGUAUACACACAAAAAGUAACAUUCUUUGAUGAUUACCAGGGAUAGGAGGGUAUGGAAAGGGGAAUCACUUUCUAGAUAGUAAACAUUUGUUAUUUUUGGUAUGGGACAGGCAAUACCCAAUAUAGGUGAGGUCUGCACAACUUGACCAAGAUUAAAAAAAAAAAAAAAGACACAAAGAAGUAU